This 472-nucleotide ribosomal RNA is filed under the name uncultured bacterium. RNAcentral's name for it is "bacterial SSU rRNA". It matches the Rfam family "Bacterial small subunit ribosomal RNA", at positions 1035 to 1504 of the family's 1533-position model. The record is from RNAcentral.
GCGGUUUUCUAGGUUGUCGUCAGCUCGUGUCGUGAGAUGUUGGGUUAAGUCCCGCAACGAGCGCAACCCUCACUCUUAGUUGCCAUCAGGUAAUGCUUGGGCACUCUGAGGGAACUGCCGGUGAUAAACCGGAGGAAGGUGGGGAUGACGUCAAGUCCUCAUGGCCUUUAUGCCCCGGGCUACACACGUGCUACAAUGGCCAAUACAAAGGGUAGCAAAAUCGUAAGAUCUAGCCAAUCCCAAAAAGUUGGUCUCAGUUCGGAUUGAAGUCUGCAACUCGACUUCAUGAAGUCGGAAUCGCUAGUAAUCGUGGAUCAGCACGCCACGGUGAAUACGUUCCCGGGCCUUGUACACACCGCCCGUCACACCACGAAAGUCGGUUGUACCAGAAGUCGCUUAAUUAACCCGCAAGGGAGAUGAGUGCCGAAGGUAUGAUCAGUAAUUGGGGUGAAGUCGUAACAAGGUAGCCGUA